Molecule: ribosomal RNA, 253 nt
Filed under: uncultured bacterium
Lineage: Bacteria
Description: partial 16S ribosomal RNA
Rfam family: Bacterial small subunit ribosomal RNA
Source: RNAcentral
UACGUAGGGGGCUAGCGUUGUCCGGAUUUAUUGGGCGUAAAGAGCGUGUAGGCGGCCAGAUAGGUCUGCUGUGAAAACUCGAGGCUCAACCUCGAGAUGUCGGCGGAAACCAUUUGGCUAGAGUCCGGAAGAGGAAAGUGGAAUUCCUGGUGUAGCGGUGAAAUGCGCAGAUAUCAGGAAGAACACCCGUGGCGAAGGCGGGUCUCUGGGCCGAUACUGACGCUGAGGAGCGAAAGCGUGGGGAGCGAACAGG